This 86-nucleotide microRNA precursor is filed under the name Solanum lycopersicum (tomato). RNAcentral describes it as "MIR8024 microRNA precursor family". It matches the Rfam family "MIR8024 microRNA precursor family". Lineage: Eukaryota; Viridiplantae; Streptophyta; Magnoliopsida; Solanales; Solanaceae. The record is from Rfam by way of RNAcentral.
AUAAAGGAUUUGAAGACUUAAACUUGUAGACUUAAAGAAUUUGAAGAAUCCAACUUGCAGACUUAAAGAAUUUGAAGACUUCAAUU